This 768-nucleotide long non-coding RNA is filed under the name Apteryx rowi (Okarito brown kiwi). Its description in RNAcentral is "lncRNA (ENSARWG00000009293.1)". The record is from RNAcentral. Lineage: Eukaryota; Metazoa; Chordata; Aves; Apterygiformes; Apterygidae.
GAGAUUUAUUCACGAUGAGGGUGUGAAUCCAAUUAGAGCAAAACGAACAGUGUACAUGACACAUUUCUUUCUCGCCUCUGCAGAAGCUAAUCUAGCUAAUCCCUUUGUGUUGUUACAGGGAAAUAAUUGAUAUCUUGCAGCUCGGGAGCGAGCGUGUGAGGACGCAGGCAGCGCAUACCAGCCGUCUGGACCUCCAGCCCAUUCAGGGCUGUAUUUGUUACUGUGAGCAAGCAACUGCCUCUCAUGUGUCCGCACUUCUACACGCACGCACUGACUUCAGGCCACAUCUUGUUGACUUCUUCCUAAAUAAGCCUUCUGCUUUGCUUGCCACCGUGAGGCGAGUUUCCUAAAUAAGAAGAUGUUCUGGGAAGGAGAUCUUCCUGUGCGCUGCUGAGGAGACACAGUCACUUGUCUCGGAAAGCCGGCUGUUCUCGCAGGCUGUGCUGACAUCCUGUGGCUCGAUUUCUCAGCCUGAAAUGCAAAGACACUGAGAACUGGAUCAUCUGCCUUUGUUUAUUCAUACUGGAACAGAGAAGUGGUCAUAGGACUUGAAAACCGUCCUCAACUGAGACCCCAAACACACUGAAAUUAUGGGCAAGCUUGGAAUCAAAAGGUCGUGGUCAGGAAGAGCCCCAGCAAGCGUGAGACAAGGAGACCCUGUGAGACAAGGACACCUGCCCACACACCUUGCCAGCUGGAGGCACAUGCAGUCAGUUGCUGUGGGGUGCUGCUGCCAGAAUCACCACYGCUUUUGCAGAGGAAGAGGAG